AUUGAACGCUGGCGGCAUGCCUUACACAUGCAAGUCGAACGGCAGCAUGAUCUAGCUUGCUAGAUUGAUGGCGAGUGGCGAACGGGUGAGUAAUACAUCGGAACGUGCCCUGUAGUGGGGGAUAACUAGUCGAAAGAUUAGCUAAUACCGCAUACGACCUGAGGGUGAAAGUGGGGGACCGCAAGGCCUCAUGCUAUAGGAGCGGCCGAUGUCUGAUUAGCUAGUUGGUGAGGUAAAGGCUCACCAAGGCGACGAUCAGUAGCUGGUCUGAGAGGACGAUCAGCCACACUGGGACUGAGACACGGCCCAGACUCCUACGGGAGGCAGCAGUGGGGAAUUUUGGACAAUGGGCGAAAGCCUGAUCCAGCAAUGCCGCGUGUGUGAAGAAGGCCCUCGGGUUGUAAAGCACUUUUGUCCGGAAAGAAAUGGCUCUGGUUAAUACCUGGGGUCGAUGACGGUACCGGAAGAAUAAGGACCGGCUAACUACGUG
RNAcentral lists this ribosomal RNA (490 nucleotides) under uncultured bacterium. Its description in RNAcentral is "partial 16S ribosomal RNA". It matches the Rfam family "Bacterial small subunit ribosomal RNA", at positions 30 to 507 of the family's 1533-position model. The record is from RNAcentral.